RNAcentral lists this transfer RNA (63 nucleotides) under Limnoria quadripunctata. RNAcentral's name for it is "tRNA-Ser". Lineage: Eukaryota; Metazoa; Arthropoda; Malacostraca; Isopoda; Limnoriidae. The record is from RNAcentral.
GAAAUAGGGUUAAACCAAAACAAGGCUUCUAACCUUAUUUUAAGUCACUAGAUUUCUAUUUCA